GGGAACAGGGUAGGUCUGAAUGAUGACUGCGGUGCGGUCUUUGGUCCGCUCUCGUAGUUAAAGGAGAAUGGUAGUGAGGGGUCUGGGGUCUCAGGUGCCUCAGGUCACACUCGCGAGCCGCGCCGUUCAGCCGCUGGUACCGGCGCCGCCGAGAGUGGGAGGAGGACGACCAGGAGGAGGGCCGCGCGGUACGAGAGCGGUGCUGCCGGCCGCUGCGCGUGGGCCCGAUGCGCCCGCGCCUCCGGCUGUGGACGCCCCGCCGCUAGCCGCCGAGAGGGGGGAGACGUCCUCCGCGCCGUCCGGCCGCGGUGCCGGGCCGCGACCUCCUCAUGCCCCCGCCCGCGUAGCACCUGUAGUGCGUGCGCAUGGCGGGGUCGUACGGCCGCAAGCGCGGGCCGCGCUGCCAGCCGGGGGAGCACGCCGAGUUCCGCAGCUACCUCCUGCCCAGCCUCAUGUUGGACAGCCUCGAGGCCUACCUCACGGUGUACCCGUGGGUGCAGCUGCGCGGCCCGGUGUACUUGGUCCGGGUGAAGCGGCGGCCGGAGCUGCAGCUGUGCGAGCUGGAGCUACAGGAAUUGCCAGGACGGAAUGACCAGCUACAAGGUUCUGUGUGUUUAUAUUGUCGACUUAGGUACUUUAGGGAUUUAUAUGGCUUUUCACAAGCAGCACAAGAGAAGUCCUGUAACUUGUGUCUGUCCCCCGAGUACACCUUCCGUCGACCACUAUACUCAAUACAACCUAAAUGUCUCCUACCACGGGCCACCAAUCAACUGUUGUGUCUGUAGUUCGACCAACCCUAACUGAUAUAUAGUCAACGACGCAAACUAGUGAACUAGAGACGGGUACACCGGAAGAAGUUUUUACGCCUAUAGUAGGAUCAGCUUCGGAACUUUGAUCUGUUGCACUUGUGACCUGAUAUGUACGACGUGACGAAUGGAGACUCUGACCAACCGAGACUCCCGAGUGGUUAAUCCACGUAAGAAUAGUUCACUAGUGGUACCACGUAAGAAUAGGCUCACCGACGAGAACGGUUUUCCGACGUUGCACAGCACGGGCGUCUACGAUGUUAUAGAAACAGGUGCCAGGGUAGAAUCACCCUUUUCUUUUACGGAGAACAGUACGUAUGUUCAAACAUAACAUUUUAGUUGUUUCCUUUAUAUCGUUAUGGUGCUUAUUCGUUCAUCACGUUCUGCCUGCAACAUCGCUGAGUCACAGUUAGACAUUGGUUACUACUUGGUGUGCUCAAACAAUCGACAUAUUAAAGGUUGGCUCAAGUCGAUAAAAGUACACGUAGAGGAGAGUCCGUCAAAGACGUUAUAAAGCUAAGUUGAGCGACUACCGCUUCGGAUGAUGGUAACGACUAUGCAACCUGACAAGAGACAUUACGAGAUCGCACGGUUUGACAAUAUGCCUCAUCAUAUAUAGACGUCGAUGCAAAGAACAUUUCGUCUUAUUCAACGUACGGCCACUUGUACACAUGUUAGAAAACUAUACUCAAGAGUAAGAAGGAGACCCACGUGUACCUACUCACUAUGUAUAAACGCCCCCUGACAAACCUUUCCGAUUUAGGACACAAAAAGAAAAGAAAAAACUCCUAUUUAGGACACCAAAAGUCUAUGGCGGGGAAAAGUGACAGGCAGUAGAGCAAGAGUCGGUCGGCCGGACUCUCUUCGAACCAUGCACGAACGAGGUAAGUAGUCGUAACAUAACUGGUGGUCUUUAAUUCCUUCUCGACGUUGAUGGUCACUGGUAGUGUCGGGUCUCUUAGGCCUCACUCGCGAGCCGCCGUACCGCCCGCGCGGCCGAGAGUGGGAGGAGGACGACCAGGAGGAGGGCCGUGCGGUCCGCCCGAUACGCCCGCGCCUCCGGCUGCGGACGCCCGGCCGCCGGCCUCCGCGCCGUCCGGCCGCGGUACCGGGCCCCGACCUCCUCAUGCCGCCGCCCGCGUAGCACCUGUAGUGCGUGCGCAUGGCCGGCCCGUACGGCGGGCUGCGCUGCCGCCCGGGCGACCACGCCGAGUUCCUCAGCUACCUCUUGCCCAGCCUGAUGUUGAACAGCCUCGAGGCCUACGUGACGGUGUACCCGUGGGUGCAGCUGCGCGGCCCCGUGUACUUGUUCCGAGUGAAGCGGCGGCCAGAGCUGCAGCUGUGCGAGCUGGAUCCUCAGGAGCUGCCAGGACGGAAUGACCAGCUACAAGGUUCUGUGUGUUUAUAUUGUCGACUUCGUUACCUUAGGGAUUUAUAUGGUUUUCCACAAGCAGCUCAAGAGAAGUCCUGUAACUUGUGUCUGUCCCCCGAGUACACCUUCGUUCCUCCACUAUACUCAAAACAACCUAAAUGCCUCCUACCACGUGUCACCAAUCAACUGUUGUGGCUGUAGUUUGAACAACCCUAACUGAUAUAUAGUCAACGAAGUAAACUGGUGAACUAGUGACGGGUACACCGGAAGAAGUUUUUACGCCUAUAGUAGGGUCAGCUUCGGGACUUUGAUCUGUUGUAGUUGUGACCUGAUAUGUACGACGUGACGAAUGGAGAUUCUGACCAACCGAGGCUCCCAAGUGGUUAGUCCACGUAAGAAUAGUUCACUAGUGAACCGCCGACGAGAACGGUUUCCGACGUUACAUAGCACGGGUGUCUACGAUGUGGGAUCGAUUACAGAACCACGUGUCAGGUAUAGGCAUUUUUAUUUUACGGACUACAGUACAUAUAUUCAGACAUGACGGU
RNAcentral lists this ribosomal RNA (2723 nucleotides) under Triticum aestivum (bread wheat). RNAcentral's name for it is "partial small subunit ribosomal RNA". The record is from RNAcentral. Lineage: Eukaryota; Viridiplantae; Streptophyta; Magnoliopsida; Poales; Poaceae.